Molecule: ribosomal RNA, 482 nt
Filed under: uncultured bacterium
Lineage: Bacteria
Description: partial 16S ribosomal RNA
Rfam family: Bacterial small subunit ribosomal RNA
Source: RNAcentral
AUUGAACGCUGGCGGCAUGCCUUACACAUGCAGGUCGAACGGUAACAGGUCUUCGGAUGCUGACGAGUGGCGAACGGGUGCGUAAUACAUCGGAACGUGCCCGAUCGUGGGGGAUAACGAGGCGAAAGCUUUGCUAAUACCGCAUACGAUCUACGGAUGAAAGCGGGGGAUCUUCGGACCUCGCCCGGCCGGAGCGGCUGAUGGCGGAUUAGGUAGUUGGUGGGAUAAAAGCUGACCAAGCCGACGAUCUGUAGCUGGUCUGAGAGGAUGAUCAGCCACACUGGGACUGAGACACGGCCCAGACUCCUACGGGAGGCAGCAGUGGGGAAUGUUGGACAAUGGGCGAAAGCCUGAUCCAGCCAUGCCGCGUGCAGGAUGAAGGCCUUCGGGUUGUAAACUGCUUUUGUACGGAACGAAAAGCCUCUUUCUAAUAAAGAGAGGUCAUGACGGUACCGUAAGAAUAAGCACCGGCUAACUACGUG